This 253-nucleotide ribosomal RNA is filed under the name uncultured bacterium. Its description in RNAcentral is "partial 16S ribosomal RNA". It matches the Rfam family "Bacterial small subunit ribosomal RNA", at positions 524 to 776 of the family's 1533-position model. The record is from RNAcentral.
UACGUAGGGUGCGAGCGUUGUCCGGAAUUACUGGGCGUAAAGAGCUCGUAGGUGGUUUGUCGCGUUGUUCGUGAAAACUCACAGCUUAACUGUGAGCGUGCUUCCGAUACGGGCAGACUUGAGGUAUUCAGGGGAGAACGGAAUUCCUGGUGUAGCGGUGAAAUGCGCAGAUAUCAGGAGGAACACCGGUGGCGAAGGCGGUUCUCUGGGAAUAUCCUGACGCUGAGGAGCGAAAGUGUGGGGAGCGAACAGG